Molecule: ribosomal RNA, 353 nt
Filed under: uncultured bacterium
Lineage: Bacteria
Description: bacterial SSU rRNA
Rfam family: Bacterial small subunit ribosomal RNA
Source: RNAcentral
GGGCCCGCACAAGCGGUGGAGUAUGUGGUUUAAUUCGAUGCAACGCGAAGAACCUUACCAGGGUUUGACAUCCUGCGAAUCUCUUGGAAACGAGAGAGUGCCUUCGGGAACGCAGUGACAGGUGGUGCAUGGCUGUCGUCAGCUCGUGUCGUGAGAUGUUGGGUUAAGUCCCGCAACGAGCGCAACCCACGUCGUUAGUUGCCAGCAUUUAGUUGGGCACUCUAGCGAGACCGCCGGUGAUAAACCGGAGGAAGGUGUGGAUGACGUCAAGUCAUUAUGCCCCUUACAUCCUGGGCUACACACGUACUACAAUGGUCGGUACAGAGGGAAGCUACCCCGUAAGGGGAUGCGGA